GCUGUUCCUGUUGUUCCCCUGCUCUGCGGAUCUGGCGCUGCGGGAGGCACGGAUGCUCCGAGGGAGCCAGCUACAGCCAGCGAAGGCUCAAGCACCCUGCAGAGGCCAGGCUGCAGCCCAGGCGAUGGAUGGGGACGGCUGCCAUGCGGUGCUGAGCCCAGCGGUUGUUGCUAAACAACCAACCCUGGCGCUGGAGAUGUCAGCCAGUGCAAUCCCUGCCCCAAGCAGUUCACAGCGCUGCCAGCACUCCAGCACCUCAGAAGGGAGAAGGAAGCAAGGAGAAAAGCCCUGAACCCCAGUACUUUCCCCUGCACCGUGGGCUGCAGCUCUGACACGUCAUCAUUGCAACUGGACGGCGAAACGAGAACUCUGACAGCACCCAUGGGUGAAGGACUGCACCCAGCACAGCCAGCAGCGACCAGCUCCUGUCCUGUCUGCUGCCCGACGGACGCCUGGCAUCCCGGGACCCGAGGUGAGCAUGGAGCGAGAGCGGGCAGGGAGUGGGCAGGGAGAUGGGAGCGGGCAGGGAACGGGCAGCAAUUGGGCAGGGAACAGCCAUGGAGCAUGCCAAGGAUUGGGCAGGGAGCAGGGGAACAGACAGGGAACAGACAGCAAGCAGGCAGGGAAUAGGACAGGGGCAGCUGCUGGUACUCGGAGUGCUGGGAUCAGCGUGCAGGUCGCAGAGGCAGCCCAGCGCUGCCAUGGCCGCUCCGCUGAUACCCGCGGGCAGGGA
This is a long non-coding RNA of Zonotrichia leucophrys gambelii, 733 nucleotides long. RefSeq lists it as uncharacterized. The record is from RefSeq and is a predicted model, not a curated record. The transcript is spliced from 3 exons. Lineage: Eukaryota; Metazoa; Chordata; Aves; Passeriformes; Passerellidae.